This is a non-coding RNA of Myotis davidii, 72 nucleotides long. NCBI's taxonomy places the organism in Eukaryota, Metazoa, Chordata, Mammalia, Chiroptera, Vespertilionidae. The record is from Rfam.
UCUCACAUUGUCUAGCAGUUAGGAUUCCUGGUUUUCACCCAGGCGGACCGGGUUCGACUCCCGAUGUGGGAA